CUGGUCGACAUUUUUCGGUUGGG
This 23-nucleotide microRNA is filed under the name Gallus gallus (chicken). Its description in RNAcentral is "microRNA Ros-gga". The record is from RNAcentral. Lineage: Eukaryota; Metazoa; Chordata; Aves; Galliformes; Phasianidae.